CACAAAUUUCAUAAAUCACAACUUAUUACAUGAUCACAAAUUAUCAAAUAUUUUUGUCACAAAUAACAAAUUUUUAGAUCACGUAUUAUUUAUUUAUUACAGUUAUUCUACUUCAUGGGUCACAUAUUGUUUAUUAGUUACAACUAACCAAAUAAUUUGUAACACAACUUCAACCAGUCGUACUGUCACUUGAACCACCACCACCACCUUUCGACAGCAACACCACCAUCUCAAACAAACCAACACCCACCACAAAAAACUACUACAACUUUACAACCACUGUGAUGACAGGACCACGGCCAGCACUACCACCAUCGCCUGCAUCAUCACUACCACGAACGUAGCCUAACAGUGUCACUACCACCCAAAAUCACUACACAACCACCGCAAAACACACCAACCACAAAAAACCACCUGCAAACACCACCAUACCACAAAACACAACCAAUUGGAACGGGAUCUAAAUCCUCCACCGUCUCCGACACCAAAUUUCUCUCUAACGAGCAGCGGUAGCGUCUCCGAACCUACCAUUGCUAUGCCGCCAUCACCAUUAUCACACACCGUAACCCACAUCUCCACCACACUGUCAUGGGAGGAGCAAUUGGGAAAAAAGGAGAAGAACUAGCCAUGGAUGGAAAAACCAGAAAUCAGAAGUGGAGAAAGAAGAAAGAAUUAACAGUAGUAACCGAAAUUCAAGUCCAAAACGACGGCAUUUGGUUUAAGAAAAAAUGACUCCGUUUUGCUUUAUUUUAAUUAAAUAAAUUGUAAUAGGAAUUGAAGAAAUAUUUUUAUUAUUAUUAUUAUUUUUAUUAUUAUUUUUAUUUUUAUUUUUAUUUUUGGCUUUCAAAAUGCGACUUGAAUUGUACUGGACAGAUAUAGAUACAGCCAUGUGCGAGGUGGAGGUCAUUCGUCAAUUUCUGAAUUUUUAGUUGCUAAUUGAAAGGAUAUUCUUUUCUCACCUCCCAUCCUUCUUUUUUUUUUCCCAUCAUUUUCACCAUCCCCAAUUCUGUUUUACUUUAAUUUUGGUUACAAGUUCUAUUGAUUCAGCCGGGGAGAGUUCCAUAGUUGAGCUGUGAAGCUGGAGGUUGUGGAUUGAGGUUCAUUCCAUGACAAAUUGGUAUUACAGCUGGCGCAUA
RNAcentral lists this long non-coding RNA (1136 nucleotides) under Olea europaea subsp. europaea. The record is from RNAcentral. Lineage: Eukaryota; Viridiplantae; Streptophyta; Magnoliopsida; Lamiales; Oleaceae.